CCAGAGAACUUAGCAGAGAUGCUUUGGUGCCUUCGGGGAACUCUGAGACAGGUGCUGCAUGGCUGUCGUCAGCUCGUGUUGUGAAAUGUUGGGUUAAGUCCCGCAACGAGCGCAACCCUUAUCCUUUGUUGCCAGCGGCUCGGCCGGGAACUCAAAGGAGACUGCCGGUGAUAAACCGGAGGAAGGUGGGGAUGACGUCAAGUCAUCAUGGCCCUUACGGCCAGGGCUACACACGUGCUACAAUGGCGCAUACAAAGAGAAGCGACCUCGCGAGAGCAAGCGGACCUCACAAAGUGCGUCGUAGUCCGGAUUGGAGUCUGCAACUCGACUCCAUGAAGUCGGAAUCGCUAGUAAUCGUAGAUCAGAAUGCUACGGUGAAUACGUUCCCGGGCCUUGUACACACCGCCCGUCACACCAUGGGAGUGGGUUGCAAAAGAAGUAGGUAGCUUAACCUUCGGGAGGGCGCUUACCACUUUGUGAUUCAUGACUGGGGUGAAGUCGUAACAAGGUAGGCGUAGCGAG
Molecule: ribosomal RNA, 522 nt
Filed under: uncultured bacterium
Lineage: Bacteria
Description: bacterial SSU rRNA
Rfam family: Bacterial small subunit ribosomal RNA
Source: RNAcentral